UUUUGUCAAAUGGGGAUUCAAAAUCAUGAAAUAAUUAAAUCGGGCCCAAACAACAAAUAAUGCAAUGCAUGAGUGUAAGUGCAAGAGAACCGGCUCAUUGUAAGAAAGCCCAAGAGUAAGCUAUGUGAGGUUGAUGGCGAUGCUUAAAAGCAAUCGACUUACAAGGGUAUGAAAAUGGGCUCGAUAUUGAAUCGAGAAAAGUGUGAUUUUAAUAGUUUAAAGCGGCUUAAGGGUAACUGAAAUGCAGACGAGUAAAUGCGAGCACGCAAAAAGAAAAUAGCUCAUUGUAAGAAAGCCCAAGAGUAAGCCACGGGACCGAAAGUCAACCGAAAUCGAGAGUAAACCGAAUUUAGCUCUAAGCUAACUUAGAGUGGAUUCAUGUAAGGAUCACUCUAAGAAGUUGAGCUAAC
Molecule: long non-coding RNA, 410 nt
Filed under: Lathyrus oleraceus (garden pea)
Lineage: Eukaryota; Viridiplantae; Streptophyta; Magnoliopsida; Fabales; Fabaceae
Description: Pisum sativum (pea) long non-coding RNA (PSAT_LNC034573)
Source: RNAcentral